GCCGGGCGCGGUGGCAGGCGCCUGUAGUCCCAGCUACUCGGGAGGCUGAGGCUGGAGGAUCGCCUGAGCUCAGGAGUUCUGGGCUGCAGUGCGCUAUGCCGAUCGGGUGUCCGCACUAAGUUCGGCAUCAAUACGGUGACCUCCCGGGAGCGGGGGACCACCAGGUUGCCUAAGGAGGGGUGAACAGGCCCAGGUCGGAAACGGAGCAGGUCAAAACUCCCGUGCUGAUCAGUAGUGGGAUCGCGCCUGUGAAUAGCCACUGUACUCCAGCCUGGGCAACAUAGCGAGACCCCGUCUCUU
This 300-nucleotide signal recognition particle RNA is filed under the name Bison bison bison. RNAcentral describes it as "Metazoan signal recognition particle RNA (ENSBBBG00000013885.1)". It matches the Rfam family "Metazoan signal recognition particle RNA". Rfam says of the family: The signal recognition particle (SRP) is a universally conserved ribonucleoprotein. It is involved in the co-translational targeting of proteins to membranes. The record is from Rfam by way of RNAcentral. Lineage: Eukaryota; Metazoa; Chordata; Mammalia; Artiodactyla; Bovidae.